Long non-coding RNA from Perca flavescens (yellow perch), 394 nucleotides. RefSeq lists it as uncharacterized. The record is from RefSeq and is a predicted model, not a curated record. NCBI's taxonomy places the organism in Eukaryota, Metazoa, Chordata, Actinopteri, Perciformes, Percidae. The transcript is spliced from 3 exons.
UAACCUUGACAGAUUCCAAGUGCACUUUUCAGAAGCAUCCCAUCUUCAAACUGUCCCAAGAGAAGUCUGUCAAACGCAGCCUACACAGGAGCCGGAUCAGCAGGCUGGUCUGAGGCCUCUGCUUGAAAUGCAAGUUCCAGAAAUAUUUGAUGAACUCCAAACUAAGGCCAUUGUUACAGAGAAAACCCGAAUGAAACUCAUUAAAGUUUGCAUCUCUGACUUAGUGGAGAAGCAUGGAUUUUAUCCGUCCACUAUUGAAAAGGUGGUUCUUGCAAAGAACAUCAUCACCAUCUUCCCAUCGCUUAAAGUCCAAAUUGAUGGCAGAGGAGAAGGCUUUGUGAGUAUAAAGUUGCUUAGUUGAAAAGUGGGUAGAGCUAGCUAUGGGUGUGCAAUG